This 440-nucleotide ribosomal RNA is filed under the name uncultured bacterium. Its description in RNAcentral is "partial 16S ribosomal RNA". It matches the Rfam family "Bacterial small subunit ribosomal RNA", at positions 338 to 795 of the family's 1533-position model. The record is from RNAcentral.
CCUACGGGGGGCAGCAGUGGGGAAUAUUGCACAAUGGGGGAAACCCUGAUGCAGCGACGCCGCGUGAGUGAAGAAGUAUUUCGGUAUGUAAAGCACUAUCAGCAGGGAAGAAAAUGACGGUACCUGUUUAAGAAGCCCCGGCUAACUACGUGCCAGCAGCCGCGGUAAUACGGAGGGGGCAAGCGUUAUCCGGAUUUACUGGGCGUAAAGGGAGCGUAGACGGCAGCUCAAGUCUGGUGUGAAAUGCCGGGGCUCAACCCCGGAACUGCUUUGGAAACUGUGCGGCUAGAGUGCAGGAGAGGGAGGUAGAAUUCCUGGUGUAGCGGUGAAAUGCGUAGAGAUCAGGAGGAAUACUAGUGGCGAAGGCGGCUUACUGGACUGUAACUGACGCUGAGGUGCGAAAGCGUGGGGAGCAAACAGGAUUAGAUACCCGGGUAGUC